AGCUGCUUCUCCCAUGGCUAGCCACCUAAAGUCCAGCUUCACUUCACCAAUUUCAAGGGCAUUGGUCUCACCCAAGGUUCCCUUUGCCUCUCCACUUAGAGUCUUGCCUUCUAGGAGGCAAUCUUCCUUCACCAUCAGAGCCGUCCAAUCUGAAAAGGUAUGUUAAUGUUAACCUAUUUAUGAAUUUGAAUAUAUAUAUAUAUAUAUAUAUAUAUAUAUAUAUAUAUAUAUAUAUAUAUAUGUGUGUGUGUGUGUUUUCUUUUUGAAAAGUUAUUUGAACUUUAGAAUUUAAGAAUAGCACAGUAUACUAAUGGGAAAUUUUAACCCUCUUUGGUUUAAAGAACAAAUAUGGACCACAAGAUAAUGGGAAAUAGUCAAGUAUGGUCUCCUAUCCAUAAUGGAUAAUUCCCCUUGGAAUUUGCAAUGCUCAAGUUAUCCCCUUUGAUUUCAGCCGACUCUUUCCACUACGUCUAGCCACUUUUCAAAGUAACGAUAAUGCAAUAUUUUUUUUAUAUAUUUUGUUGGGAUUUUACUUAAUAAUUAGAAUAAAUUAACUUGCACAUGGUGCGCAUAUAAUUGAAUUUAUAUAUAAUCUAAAAAUUUCAAGGCAUGAAUUCUCUUAACCAUUGAAAACAAAAAAGAGAAGCUUUCGUUGGCCUUACCCAGAACCUUAGGAGUCCCUUUGAAUUCCAUGAAGUCGAUGUCAUAUUCAUGCCGAAUUCGAAGUGUAUCAUUUUUGAAACCUAGUUAACCAAUAAUAAAGCAAUAACCCUUAUAUAAAAGGGACAGUGGAAAAAUGAUUAAUUAUGCAAUCUUUGCAGUCAUUUGACCAACUGAGAGACAAGAUCAAUAAAGGGUAAUGAUAAAAAUGAUCAAGAGCAGUUAAUUCAAAACCACGAUGCUAGACAGAUGGGCAAUUUGGCGGCCUCCGAAUUCCAUUUCUUUGGGCAAAAUGUGCUGGAAAGUGAGAAGUCAAGCUUGGUGUACAAGCAUUAAGCAUGUGGGUGGCCAUUGAAUAUAAUUUGUUACCCACGUAAAGGUCCCAAGGCAACUUGAUCUUGUUUAUAUUUCACUUCACUAACCCCACACACCACUCACUCACUCUCUUUCUCAUUACAAAAAGUAUACCUUUAAUGGAGGAGGAUUUUGACCUCUAAAUUUUCUUCUUCUUCUUCUUUUUAUUAUUUCUUGAAAAAAAGAUGCUUGUCUCUAAGGGAAAGUAAGGUCAAUGCUCGAGCUUAUUGAUUAUGACUUAUACCAUGUCAUAUGAUCCAAUUGGCUGAAAAGGCAUGCACCAUGCUUAAGUGCUCAACAGGUAAAUUGACUCGCCCAUAAGAUUUUCCCGAGAUUUCGAAAAUGUGGAUGGGUAGAGAUGUGGCAUGAUAGUUUAGAGACGACGUUUUCUAGGUCACAAGCAAUAUUGUCCACUUGGAAGGCCUUGUCUUUUUUACUAUAUUUUAUUAAAUUUGUUUGCUUCUGGGAAGAAAGCUUAGGACUAAAUGUGGCUUGGUCUGGUUUUUUCAGC
This 1525-nucleotide long non-coding RNA is filed under the name Theobroma cacao (cacao). RNAcentral describes it as "long non-coding RNA (TCAC_LNC003474)". The record is from RNAcentral. Lineage: Eukaryota; Viridiplantae; Streptophyta; Magnoliopsida; Malvales; Malvaceae.